UUGUCUUUUAAAUAAAGACUAGUAUGAACGGCUAAAUGAGGACAGAUCUGUCUCUUACAACUGACCAGUGAAACUGAUCUUCAAGUCCAAAAGCUUGAAUAAACACAUAAGACGAGAAGACCCUGUGGAGCUUCAAACCCACACUAUAACUAACCAAAAUAGCACCGGUUUUAAGUUGGGGCGACUUCGGAACACAACCUAACUUCCGAGCACAUGGGCCAUCACACCCUCACCAAGACCGACAAGUCAAAGAAAAAUCCGACCCAGUCACACUGACCAACGAACCAAGUUACCCCAGGGAUAACAGCGCUAUCUUCUUCAAGAGUCCCUAUCGACAAGAAGGUUUACGACCUCGAUGUUGGAUCAGGACACCCAAAUGGUGCAGCAACUAUUAAAGGUUCGUUUGUUCAACGAUU
Molecule: ribosomal RNA, 416 nt
Filed under: Cryptoblepharus ater (Black snake-eyed skink)
Lineage: Eukaryota; Metazoa; Chordata; Lepidosauria; Squamata; Scincidae
Description: partial 16S ribosomal RNA
Rfam family: Bacterial large subunit ribosomal RNA
Source: RNAcentral